AAUGAAUUGCCUGACAAAAAGGAUUACCUUGAUAGGGUAAAUUAUGUAAUAAAAUUACAUUCAUUA
Molecule: transfer RNA, 66 nt
Filed under: Myospila meditabunda
Lineage: Eukaryota; Metazoa; Arthropoda; Insecta; Diptera; Muscidae
Description: tRNA-Ile
Source: RNAcentral